This 223-nucleotide long non-coding RNA is filed under the name Mytilus galloprovincialis (Mediterranean mussel). The record is from RNAcentral. Lineage: Eukaryota; Metazoa; Mollusca; Bivalvia; Mytilida; Mytilidae.
GUUUGUUGUUAUAUUGGAAACAUGUGUUUAUGUUUACAAUAAUAUUUAAAUUAUUUUAGCAUAACAAUAAGUCACCUUAACAAAGUUAAGAGUUUAAAGUUCUUUGUAUGAUAGCACGGACUGAUCAGUCGCGGUAAAAGUUAACAUUGAAAAUACAUUUUCAUAGCUUGACCAUUCGAAGCUCAGUCUUAGUGCAGUGAAGUUCCCCCCCUCCCCCCUCUCC